CACUCCUGCGGGAGGCAGCAGUGAGGAAUAUUGGACAAUGGGUGGAAGCCUGAUCCAGCCAUCCCGCGUGCAGGAAGACGGCCCUAUGGGUUGUAAACUGCUUUUAUCUGGGGAUAAACCUACUUACGUGUAAGUAGCUGAAGGUACCAGAAGAAUAAGCACCGGCUAACUCCGUGCCAGCAGCCGCGGUAAUACGGAGGGUGCAAGCGUUAUCCGGAUUUAUUGGGUUUAAAGGGUCCGUAGGCGGACUGAUAAGUCAGUGGUGAAAUCCGACAGCUUAACUGUCGAACUGCCAUUGAUACUGUUAGUCUUGAGUAAGGUUGAAGUGGCUGGAAUAAGUAGUGUAGCGGUGAAAUGCAUAGAUAUUACUUAGAACACCAAUUGCGAAGGCAGGUCACUAAGUCUUAACUGACGCUGAUGGACGAAAGCGUGGGGAGCGAACAGGAUUAGAAACCCGUGUAGUCCCAUGA
Molecule: ribosomal RNA, 470 nt
Filed under: uncultured organism
Description: partial 16S ribosomal RNA
Rfam family: Bacterial small subunit ribosomal RNA
Source: RNAcentral